Molecule: ribosomal RNA, 373 nt
Filed under: uncultured organism
Description: partial 16S ribosomal RNA
Rfam family: Bacterial small subunit ribosomal RNA
Source: RNAcentral
GUAGGUGGCAAGCGUUGUCCGGAAUUAUUGGGCGUAAAGCGCGCGCAGGCGGUUUUUUAAGUCUGAUGUGAAAGCCCACGGCUCAACCGUGGAGGGUCAUUGGAAACUGGAGAACUUGAGUACAGAAGAGGAAAGCGGAAUUCCACGUGUAGCGGUGAAAUGCGUAGAGAUGUGGAGGAACACCAGUGGCGAAGGCGGCUUUCUGGUCUGUAACUGACGCUGAGGCGCGAAAGCGUGGGGAGCAAACAGGGAUUAGAUACCCUGGUAGUCCACGCCGUAAACGAUGAGUGCUAAGUGCUAGGGGGUUUCCGCCCCCCUUAGUGCUGCAGCUAACGCAUUAAGCACUCCGCCUGGGAGUACGGCCGCAAGGCUG